GAUGAACGCUGGCGGCGUGCCUAAUACAUGCAAGUCGAGCGAACAGACGAGGAGCUUGCUCCUUUGACGUUAGCGGCGGACGGGUGAGUAACACGUAGGUAACCUACCUAUAAGACUGGGAUAACUUCGGGAAACCGGAGCUAAUACCGGAUAAUAUUUCGAACCGCAUGGUUCGAUAGUGAAAGAUGGCUUUGCUAUCACUUAUAGAUGGACCUGCGCCGUAUUAGCUAGUUGGUAAGGUAACGGCUCACCAAGGCAACGAUACGUAGCCGACCUGAGAGGGUGAUCGGCCACACUGGAACUGAGACACGGUCCAGACUCCUACGGGAGGCAGCAGUAGGGAAUCUUCCGCAAUGGGCGAAAGCCUGACGGAGCAACGCCGCGUGAGUGAUGAAGGUCUUCGGAUCGUAAAACUCUGUUAUUAGGGAAGAACAAACGUGUAAGUAACUGUGCACGUCUUGACGGUACCUAAUCAGAAAGCCACGGCUAACUACGUG
This 497-nucleotide ribosomal RNA is filed under the name uncultured bacterium. Its description in RNAcentral is "partial 16S ribosomal RNA". It matches the Rfam family "Bacterial small subunit ribosomal RNA", at positions 28 to 507 of the family's 1533-position model. The record is from RNAcentral.